GUCUACGGCCAUGCUACCCUGAAAAAGCCCAAUCCCAUCUGAUUUGGAAGCUAAGCAGGGUGAGGCCUGGUUAGUACUUGGAUGGGAGACCACCUAGGAAGACCAGGUGCUGUAGGCA
This 118-nucleotide ribosomal RNA is filed under the name Pteropus alecto (black flying fox). The record is from RNAcentral. Lineage: Eukaryota; Metazoa; Chordata; Mammalia; Chiroptera; Pteropodidae.